CCUACGGGAGGCAGCAGUGAGGAAUAUUGGUCAAUGGGCGCGAGCCUGAACCAGCCAAGUAGCGUGAAGGAUGACUGCCCUACGGGUUGUAAACUUCUUUUAUAAAGGAAUAAAGUGAGGCACGUGUAGGGCUUUGCAUGUACCGUAUGAAUAAGGACCGGCUAAUUCCGUGCCAGCAGCCGCGGUAAUACGGAAGGUCCGGGCGUUAUCCGGAUUGAUUGGGUUUAAAGGGAGCGUAGGCCGCAUGUCAAGCGUGCUGUGAAAUGUCCGGGCUCAACCCGGGCCUUGCAGCGCGAACUGGCGUGCUUGAGUCCGCGGAAAGCAGGCGGAAUUCGUCGUGUAGCGGUGAAAUGCUUAGAUAUGACGAAGAACCCCGAUUGCGAAGGCAGCUUGCUGCAGCGGAACUGACGCUGAUGCUCGAAAGCGCGGGUAUCGAACAGGAUUAGAUACCCCAGUAGUC
This 460-nucleotide ribosomal RNA is filed under the name uncultured bacterium. Its description in RNAcentral is "partial 16S ribosomal RNA". It matches the Rfam family "Bacterial small subunit ribosomal RNA", at positions 338 to 795 of the family's 1533-position model. The record is from RNAcentral.